AGUGGUGAUGAGGAGUUGGAAGGGUAGGGGAAAAAAAGCCUGGAGCGUGAUGGCCUGACUGGUAUUUUAAGAAGGACAUCUUCAUUCCUUCCUGCCAGAGUGAGUGAUCUACCUCCAUUUGCCAUGGUAGCGAGCCGCCUGACCCUGCGGGGGCAGUCCGGCCGACUGGCCCUUCUCGGGGGCAGCGAGCAGUGUGUCCCUUAAGCAGGCUUGACCGACCUACAGUCACACUCUCUGCGGUCACGCCCUGGCCAGAGGGAUUUGAGAUGUGGCAGCAUAAUCAAUUUCCAUGAUUCAUGAUCACCCCAAACGGAGGUCGUGCUGAGCGACUGGGCAGCUGAAAGAAGAGAGCAGACGGGGAAUGCUGACAACAGAGCUGAGUCCACUGCCAUGUAUAGGAGAGGCGACGCUCUUCCUCAGGCUGCCGUGGGGUCAGGUCUUCCUCUUUGCUGAGUAACUACAUCGAUCCCAACACAGCAAUUCUUGUUCUAAUCAGCUCCAAAGAAAAUCUGCUGAACAGACUCAGCAACAAAACGGCCAAUAGCAGCAGGGUGGUGCUGGUGUGAUUUAUCUCACCUGUCGUUGUUCUGCCUUUGAUGAAAACAACAACUGUGGUCGACGUUCUCACGGGGAAAUUGGAGAGAGCUCUUCUUAGGUAACUAGUUUAACUGCUGGAGAAUCAACAAAGAUAUUAGUCAGUCACAUGAGUUAACGGUGUGACGUCUCACACUGUAAACAGCUGUUGGAGUCAUAUCAUGGCAGUCAUGGCGGAUUCCAGACCAGUUCACAAAACGGCUUCCUCUCUCUCGUAUCAUGUUCAGCUCAAGCCACCAGACAUUUUGUUUAGUUUGUUUACAUAUAAUUGAAAAAUGAAAAAGAAAA
Long non-coding RNA from Xiphophorus maculatus (southern platyfish), 882 nucleotides. RefSeq lists it as uncharacterized. The transcript has 3 exons. NCBI's taxonomy places the organism in Eukaryota, Metazoa, Chordata, Actinopteri, Cyprinodontiformes, Poeciliidae. The record is from RefSeq and is a predicted model, not a curated record.